AUUGAACGCUGGCGGCAGGCCUAACACAUGCAAGUCGAACGGUAACAGGAAGAAGCUUGCUUCUUUGCUGACGAGUGGCGGACGGGUGAGUAAUGUCUGGGACACUGCCUGAUGGAGGGGGAUAACUACUGGAAACGGUAGCUAAUACCGCAUAACGUCGCAAGACCAAAGAGGGGGACCUUCGGGCCUCUUGCCAUCGGAUGUGCCCAGAUGGGAUUAGCUUGUAGGUGGGGUAACGGCUCACCUCGGCGACGAUCCCUAGCUGGUCUGAGAGGAUGAUCAGCCACACUGGAACUGAGACACGGUCCAGACUCCUACGGGAGGCAGCAGUGGGGAAUGUUGCACAAUGGGCGCGAGCCUGAUGCAGCCAUGCCGCGUGUAUGAAGAAGGCCUUCGGGUUGUGAAGUACUUUCGGCGGGGAGGAAGGGAGUAAAGUUAAUACCUUUGCUCAUUGACGUUACCCGCAGAAGAAGCACCGGCUAACUCCGUG
Molecule: ribosomal RNA, 490 nt
Filed under: uncultured bacterium
Lineage: Bacteria
Description: partial 16S ribosomal RNA
Rfam family: Bacterial small subunit ribosomal RNA
Source: RNAcentral